UAAGGAAUAUUGGUCAAUGGACGCAAGUCUGAACCAGCCAUGCCGCGUGAAGGAUGAAGGUCCUCUGGAUUGUAAACUUCUUUUAUUUGGGACGAAAACGGGAUUUUUAUCUCAAUUGACGGUACCAGAGGAAUAAGCACCGGCUAACUCCGUGCCAGCAGCCGCGGUAAUACGGAGGGUGCGAGCGUUAUCCGGAUUUACUGGGUUUAAAGGGUGCGUAGGUGGGCUUAUAAGUCAGUGGUGAAAUCUCCGAGCUUAACUUGGAAACUGCCGUUGAUACUAUAGGUCUUGAAUUAUCUGGAGGUAAGCGGAAUAUGUCAUGUAGCGGUGAAAUGCUUAGAUAUGACAUAGAACACCAAUUGCGAAGGCAGCUUACUACAUAUAAAUUGACGCUGAGGCACGAAAGCGUGGGGAUCAAACA
This 421-nucleotide ribosomal RNA is filed under the name uncultured bacterium. RNAcentral's name for it is "bacterial SSU rRNA". It matches the Rfam family "Bacterial small subunit ribosomal RNA", at positions 355 to 774 of the family's 1533-position model. The record is from RNAcentral.